This 675-nucleotide ribosomal RNA is filed under the name Gammaproteobacteria bacterium. RNAcentral describes it as "bacterial SSU rRNA". It matches the Rfam family "Bacterial small subunit ribosomal RNA", at positions 389 to 1054 of the family's 1533-position model. Lineage: Bacteria; Pseudomonadati; Pseudomonadota; Gammaproteobacteria. The record is from RNAcentral.
CAGCCAUGGCCGCGUGUGUGAAGAAGGCCUUUUGGUUGUAAAGCACUUUAAGCGAGGAGGAGGCUCCUUUAGUUAAUACCUAAAGAGAGUGGACGUUACUCGCAGAAUAAGCACCGGCUAACUCUGUGCCAGCAGCCGCGGUAAUACAGAGGGUGCGAGCGUUAAUCGGAUUUACUGGGCGUAAAGCGUGCGUAGGCGGCUUUUUAAGUCGGAUGUGAAAUCCCUGAGCUUAACUUAGGAAUUGCAUUCGAUACUGGAAAGCUAGAGUAUGGGAGAGGAUGGUAGAAUUCCAGGUGUAGCGGUGAAAUGCGUAGAGAUCUGGAGGAAUACCGAUGGCGAAGGCAGCCAUCUGGCCUAAUACUGACGCUGAGGUACGAAAGCAUGGGGAGCAAACAGGAUUAGAUACCCUGGUAGUCCAUGCCGUAACGAUGUCUACUAGCCGUUGGGGCCUUUGAGGCUUUAGUGGCGCAGCUAACGCGAUAAGUAGACCGCCUGGGGAGUACGGUCGCAAGACUAACACUCAGAUGAAUUGACGGGGGCCCGCACAAGCGGUGGAGCAUGUGGUUUAAUUCGAUGCAGCGCGAAGAACCUUACCUGGCCUUGACAUACUAAGAACUUUCCAGAGAUGGAUUGGUGCCUUCGGGAACAUUAGAUACAGGUGCUGCAUGUCUUUUC